This 330-nucleotide ribosomal RNA is filed under the name uncultured Oscillospira sp. RNAcentral's name for it is "bacterial SSU rRNA". It matches the Rfam family "Bacterial small subunit ribosomal RNA", at positions 28 to 339 of the family's 1533-position model. The record is from RNAcentral. Lineage: Bacteria; Bacillati; Bacillota; Clostridia; Eubacteriales; Oscillospiraceae.
GAUGAACGCUGGCGGCGUGCUUAACACAUGCAAGUCGAACGGGGUGCCCAAGAAGGAGGAUUCGUCCAACAGAUUGGGUUACUUAGUGGCGGACGGGUGAGUAACGCGUGAGGAACCUGCCUUUGAGUGGGGAAUAACACAGAGAAAUUUGUGCUAAUACCGCAUAAAGCGGCUGUACCGCAUGGUACUGGUCGCCAAAGAUUUAUCGCUUUUAGAUGGCCUCGCGUCUGAUUAGCUAGUUGGUGGGGUAACGGCUCACCAAGGCGACGAUCAGUAGCCGGACUGAGAGGUUGGCCGGCCACAUUGGGACUGAGACACGGCCCAGACUCC